RNAcentral lists this ribosomal RNA (344 nucleotides) under uncultured Anoxybacillus sp. Its description in RNAcentral is "bacterial SSU rRNA". It matches the Rfam family "Bacterial small subunit ribosomal RNA", at positions 1039 to 1382 of the family's 1533-position model. The record is from RNAcentral. Lineage: Bacteria; Bacillati; Bacillota; Bacilli; Caryophanales; Anoxybacillaceae.
UGGUGCAUGGUUGUCGUCAGCUCGUGUCGUGAGAUGUUGGGUUAAGUCCCGCAACGAGCGCAACCCUUCGACCUUAGUUGCCAGCAUUCAGUUGGGCACUCUAAGGUGACUGCCGGCUAAAAGUCGGAGGAAGGUGGGGAUGACGUCAAAUCAUCAUGCCCUUAUGACCUGGGCUACACACGUGCUACAAUGGGCGGUACAAAGGGUCGCGAACCCGCGAGGGGGAGCCAAUCCCAAAAAGCCGCUACUCAGUUCGGAUUGCAGGCUGCAACUCGCCUGCAUGAAGCCGGAAUCGCUAGUAAUCGCGGAUCAGCAUGCCGCGGUCGAAUACGUUCCCGGGCCUU